AGUGAACGCUGGCGGUAGGCCUAACACAUGCAAGUCGAACGGCAGCACAGUAAGAGCUUGCUCUUACGGGUGGCGAGUGGCGGACGGGCGAGGAAUACAUCGGAAUCUACUUUUUCGUGGGGGAUAACGUAGGGAAACUUACGCUAAUACCGCAUACGACCUACGGGUGAAAGCAGGGGAUCUUCGGACCUUGCGCGAUUGAAUGAGCCGAUGUCGGAUUAGCUAGUUGGCGGGGUAAAGGCCCACCAAGGCGACGAUCCGUAGCUGGUCUGAGAGGAUGAUCAACCACACUGGAACUGAGACACGGUCCAGACUCCUACGGGAGGCAGCAGUGGGGAAUAUUGGACAAUGGGCGCAAGCCUGAUCCAGCCAUACCGCGUGGGUGAAGAAGGCCUUCGGGUUGUAAAGCCCUUUUGUUGGGAAAGAAAAGCAGCAGGUUAAUACCCCGCUGUUCUGACGGUACCCAAAGAAUAAGCACCGGCUAACUUCGUG
This 492-nucleotide ribosomal RNA is filed under the name uncultured bacterium. RNAcentral describes it as "partial 16S ribosomal RNA". It matches the Rfam family "Bacterial small subunit ribosomal RNA", at positions 29 to 507 of the family's 1533-position model. The record is from RNAcentral.